Molecule: long non-coding RNA, 840 nt
Filed under: Pongo abelii (Sumatran orangutan)
Lineage: Eukaryota; Metazoa; Chordata; Mammalia; Primates; Hominidae
Description: lincRNA
Source: RNAcentral
CAGCUCCAGAGCAGCAGCAAAGGGAAGCAGCGUCCUCGCCAAUACCUGGGCUGUCCUUCAAGGCUCAGUGCAAGGAAAAACACCUGGGUUGGACAUCAGAUAAGGAAAUUGAGACUCAAAGAGGACCCCCAUGGAGGAAGUAAUGAAGCUUGAAUUUGGACCCAAGAUCAUGUCCCUUUCACUUCCUCAGCCUGCCCAGGAAGUUUAUAGCAUGCUCAUGCCACUAACCCUGGAGCUGGAUACAUGCUCAAUUGGCUUGAAGACCUUGGGUAGUGCUGACUUCCAGACCACUGAGGUCACCUGCAUAAGCAAGCCUGGCAACAAAUAAUCAUUUUCCAGGAAAUGACCAGAAACUCAGCCUGCUUUUUGUCAUUUCACCAGCCCCAUCAUCUUUCCUUUAUUCUAGAGCUCCUGGCACACUUACAUGAAUCUCUUGAAAGAAGAGAAAUGAGAGCAUUCAUUCCAUACGAAUACAAUUGUGCCCUAUGGAAAGGCUUUUUGCUGGCAGACGUAAUAGAUGGACCAUUUCCCAACUUCUUUUUCUUUGCCAACUUCCAGCCAAAGGUGUCCAUAUGACACAGCUCUGGAAAGGAUAAUUGGAAGUCUGCUGAGAAAGCUUUUGAUUUUCUGGCAGAGACAUUUUUGCUUCCCCUUGCCACUUCCUGCUGGAUUACAGAUGUGAUGGAAAGAGCUGCAGCAGCCAUAAUACAACCAUAAAGGAGAGGAGAAGAGAAUUACAAAGGCAUCAACCCACAUUGAAUUGAACUGCUAAGUUAACACUAGCAGUUACUUGCCUCCAGAUAUCUUUGUGUGUGAGAACAUUAAAUCUGUAUGUGUGUA